CUGUCACUUAUAGAUGGAUCCGCGCUGCAUUAGCUAGUUGGUAAGGUAACGGCUUACCAAGGCAACGAUGCAUAGCCGACCUGAGAGGGUGAUCGGCCACACUGGAACUGAGACACGGUCCAGACUCCUACGGGAGGCAGCAGUAGGGAAUCUUCCGCAAUGGGCGAAAGCCUGACGGAGCAACGCCGCGUGAGUGAUGAAGGUCUUCGGAUCGUAAAACUCUGUUAUUAGGGAAGAACAUAUGUGUAAGUAACUGUGCACAUCUUGACGGUACCUAAUCAGAAAGCCACGGCUAACUACGUGCCAGCAGCCGCGGUAAUACGUAGGUGGCAAGCGUUAUCCGGAAUUAGUGGGCGUAAAGCGCGCGUAGGCGGUUUUUUAAGGCUGAUGUGAAAGCCCACGGCUCAACCGUGGAGGGUCAUUGGAAACUGGAAAACUUGAGUGCAGAAGAGGAAAGUGGAAUUCCAUGUGUAGCGGUGAAAU
Molecule: ribosomal RNA, 483 nt
Filed under: Staphylococcus aureus
Lineage: Bacteria; Bacillati; Bacillota; Bacilli; Caryophanales; Staphylococcaceae
Description: bacterial SSU rRNA
Rfam family: Bacterial small subunit ribosomal RNA
Source: RNAcentral